This 237-nucleotide ribosomal RNA is filed under the name uncultured bacterium. RNAcentral describes it as "partial 16S ribosomal RNA". It matches the Rfam family "Bacterial small subunit ribosomal RNA", at positions 524 to 761 of the family's 1533-position model. The record is from RNAcentral.
UACGGAGGGUGCGAGCGUUGCUCGGAAUCACUGGGCGUAAAGGGCGCGUAGGUGGCCUGUGGAAGUCUGCGGUGAAAGCCCGGCGCUCAACGCCGGGUCGGCCGUGGAUACUCUCGGGCUGAGCUUACUAGAGGCAGAUGGAAUUCCGGGUGUAGCGGUGGAAUGCGUAGAGAUCCGGAAGAACACCGGUGCGAAGGCGGUCUGCUGGGGUAAUGCUGACACUGAUGCGCGACAGCG